AGCGAACGCUGGCGGCGUGCCUAACACAUGCAAGUCGAACGUGAAAGGGAGCAAUCCCAAGUAAAGUGGCGUACGGGCGAGUAACACGUAGGUAAUCUACCCCAGAAUCUGGAAUAACCGGCCGAAAGGCUGGCUAAUACUGGAUAGAGCGACGAAAUCCGUAAUUGGGUUUUUCGGGAAAGGGAGCCUGUAAAAAGGCCUUCUUCCUGGGAUGAGCCUGCGUCCCAUCAGCUAGUUGGUGAGGUAAAAGCUUACCAAGGCAAUGACGGGUAGCUGGUCGGAGAGGACGAUCAGCCACACUGGAACUGAAACACGGUCCAGACUCCUACGGGAGGCAGCAGUGGGGAAUCUUGCGCAAUGGACGAAAGUCUGACGCAGCAACGCCGCGUGAGUGAAGAAGGCCUUCGGGUUGUAAAGCUCUGUCGAGUGGGACGAAAAUGCUUGGAGUUCACAGCUCCAGGAACUGACGGUACCACUAAAGGAAGCACCGGCUAACUCCGUG
RNAcentral lists this ribosomal RNA (502 nucleotides) under uncultured bacterium. RNAcentral's name for it is "partial 16S ribosomal RNA". It matches the Rfam family "Bacterial small subunit ribosomal RNA", at positions 29 to 507 of the family's 1533-position model. The record is from RNAcentral.